Molecule: ribosomal RNA, 301 nt
Filed under: uncultured bacterium
Lineage: Bacteria
Description: partial 16S ribosomal RNA
Rfam family: Bacterial small subunit ribosomal RNA
Source: RNAcentral
CAGCCGCCACGGUAAUACGUAGGUCCCGAGCGUUGUCCGGAUUUAUUGGGCGUAAAGGGAGCGCAGGCGGUUUAGUAAGUCUGAAGUUAAAGGCAUUGGCUCAACCAAUGUAUGCUUUAGAAACUGUUAGACUUGAGUGCAGAAGGGGAGAGUGGAAUUCCAUGUGUAGCGGUGAAAUGCGUAGAUAUAUGGAGGAACACCGGUGGCAAAAGCGGCUCUCUGGCUUGUAACUGACGCUGAGGCUCGAAAGCGUGGGGAGCAAACAGGAUUAGAUACCCCCGUAGUCCCUGUCUCUUAUACA